GAUGAUCUUUAGGGGGCCUGAGAGGGUGAUCCCCCACACUGGUACUGAGACACGGACCAGACUCCUACGGGAGGCAGCAGUGAGGAAUAUUGGACAAUGGGUUAGCGCCUGAUCCAGCCAUCCCGCGUGAAGGACGACGGCCCUAUGGGUUGUAAACUUCUUUUGUACAGGGAUAAACCUAUCUACGUGUAGAUAGCUGAAGGUACUGUACGAAUAAGCACCGGCUAACUCCGUGCCAGCAGCCGCGGUAAUACGGAGGGUGCAAGCGUUAUCCGGAUUUAUUGGGUUUAAAGGGUCCGUCGGCGGAUCUGUAAGUCAGUGGUGAAAUCUCACAGCUUAACUGUGAAACUGCCAUUGAUACUGCAGGUCUUGAGUAAGGUAGAAGUGGCUGGAAUAAGUAGUGUAGCGGUGAAAUGCAUAGAUAUUACUUAGAACACCAAUUGCGAAGGCAGGUCACUAUGUCUUAACUGACGCUGAUGGACGAAAGCGUGGGGAGCGAACAGGAUUAGAUACCCUGGUAGUCCACGCUGUAAACGAUGCUAACUCGUUUUUGGGCUUUCGGGUUCAGAGACUAAGCGAAAGUGAUAAGUUAGCCACCUGGGGAGUACGAACGCAAGUUUGAAACUCAAAGGAAUUGACGGGGGCCCGCACAAGCGGUGGAUUAUGUGGUUUAAUUCGAUGAUACGCGAGGAACCUUACCAAGGCUUAAAUGGGAAUUGAUCGGUUUAGAAAUAGACCUUCCUUCGGGCAAUUUUCAAGGUGCUGCAUGGUUGUCGUCAGCUCGUGCCGUGAGGUGUUAGGUUAAGUCCUGCAACGAGCGCAACCCCUGUUACUAGUUGCUACCAUUAAGUUGAGGACUCUAGUAAGACUGCCUACGCAAGUAGAGAGGAAGGUGGGGAGGUCGUCAAAUCAUCACGGCCCUUACACCUUGGGCCACACACGUAACGCAAUGGCCGGUACAGAGGGCAGCUACACAGCGAUGUGACGCCAAUCUCGAAAACCGGUCUCAGUUCGGAUUGGAGUCUGCAACUCGACUCU
Molecule: ribosomal RNA, 1038 nt
Filed under: Chryseobacterium sp.
Lineage: Bacteria; Pseudomonadati; Bacteroidota; Flavobacteriia; Flavobacteriales; Weeksellaceae
Description: bacterial SSU rRNA
Rfam family: Bacterial small subunit ribosomal RNA
Source: RNAcentral